This 763-nucleotide ribosomal RNA is filed under the name Cortinarius sp. 2D1. RNAcentral describes it as "eukaryotic LSU rRNA". The stretch from base 136 to 763 matches the Rfam family "Eukaryotic large subunit ribosomal RNA", at positions 1 to 617 of the family's 3401-position model. Lineage: Eukaryota; Fungi; Basidiomycota; Agaricomycetes; Agaricales; Cortinariaceae. The record is from RNAcentral.
CCUGAAAUAUAUUAGCUGGUGCCCURUGUGGACUUGUCUAUUGGUGUGAUAAUUAUCUACGCUGUGGACAUCUACAAAUAUAUGGGUUUUGCACUGCUUCUAACUGUCUGUUCAUUCAGACAAUAUAUGACAAUUUGACCUCAAAUCAGGUAGGAUUACCCGCUGAACUUAAGCAUAUCAAUAAGCGGAGGAAAAGAAACUAACAAGGAUUCCCCUAGUAACUGCGAGUGAAGCGGGAAAAGCUCAAAUUUAAAAUCUGGCGGUCUCCGGCCGUCCGAGUUGUAAUCUAGAGAAGUGUUAUCCGCGCUGGACCGUGUACAAGUCUCCUGGAAUGGAGCAUCAUAGAGGGUGAGAAUCCCGUCUUUGACACGGACUGCCAGGGCUUUGUGAUGCGCUCUCAAAGAGUCGAGUUGUUUGGGAAUGCAGCUCAAAAUGGGUGGUAAAUUCCAUCUAAAGCUAAAUAUUGGCGAGAGACCGAUAGCGAACAAGUACCGUGAGGGAAAGAUGAAAAGAACUUUGGAAAGAGAGUUAAACAGUACGUGAAAUUGCUGAAAGGGAAACGCUUGAAGUCAGUCGCGUUGGCCGGGGAUCAACCUUGCUUUUGCUGGGCGUACUUUCCGGUUGAUGGGUCAGCAUCAAUUUUGACCGUUGGAUAAAGUCCAAGGGAAUGUGGCAUCUUCGGAUGUGUUAUAGCCCUUAGUCGCAUACACCGGUUGGGAUUGAGGAACUCAGCACGCCGCAAGGCCGGGUACUUGUACCACGU